RNAcentral lists this ribosomal RNA (253 nucleotides) under uncultured bacterium. RNAcentral describes it as "partial 16S ribosomal RNA". It matches the Rfam family "Bacterial small subunit ribosomal RNA", at positions 524 to 776 of the family's 1533-position model. The record is from RNAcentral.
UACGAAGGGGGCUAGCGUUGUUCGGAAUUACUGGGCGUAAAGCGCACGUAGGCGGACUACUAAGUCAGGGGUGAAAUCCCGGGGCUCAGCCCCGGAACUGCCUUUGAUACUGAUAGUCUCGAGUCCGGAAGAGGUGAGUGGAAUUCCGAGUGUAGAGGUGAAAUUCGUAGAUAUUCGGAGGAACACCAGUGGCGAAGGCGGCUCACUGGUCCGGUACUGACGCUGAGGUGCGAAAGCGUGGGGAGCAAACAGG